Molecule: ribosomal RNA, 468 nt
Filed under: uncultured bacterium
Lineage: Bacteria
Description: partial 16S ribosomal RNA
Rfam family: Bacterial small subunit ribosomal RNA
Source: RNAcentral
GACGAACGCUGGCGGCGUGCAUAACACAUGCAAGUCGAACGGAAAGGCCCUGCUUUUGUGGGGUGCUCGAGUGGCGAACGGGUGAGUAACACGUGAGUAACCUGCCCUUGACUUUGGGAUAACUUCAAGAAACUGGGGCUAAUACCGGAUAGGAGCUCCUGCUGCAUGGUGGGGGUUGGAAAGUUUCGGCGGUUGGGGAUGGACUCGCGGCUUAUCAGCUUGUUGGUGGGGUAGUGGCUUACCAAGGCUUUGACGGGUAGCCGGCCUGAGAGGGUGACCGGCCACAUUGGGACUGAGAUACGGCCCAGACUCCUACGGGAGGCAGCAGUGGGGAAUAUUGCACAAUGGGCGGAAGCCUGAUGCAGCAACGCCGCGUGCGGGAUGACGGCCUUCGGGUUGUAAACCGCUUUCGCCUGUGACGAAGCGUGAGUGACGGUAAUGGGUAAAGAAGCACCGGCUAACUACGUG